RNAcentral lists this ribosomal RNA (253 nucleotides) under uncultured bacterium. RNAcentral's name for it is "partial 16S ribosomal RNA". It matches the Rfam family "Bacterial small subunit ribosomal RNA", at positions 524 to 776 of the family's 1533-position model. The record is from RNAcentral.
UACGGAGGGGGCUAGCGUUGUUCGGAAUUACUGGGCGUAAAGCGCGCGUAGGCGGAUCUGCAAGUCGGGGGUGAAAUCCCGAGGCUCAACCUCGGAACUGCCUUCGAUACUGCGGGUCUCGAGUCCGGGAGAGGUGAGUGGAAUUCCUAGUGAAGAGGUGAAAUUCGUAGAUAUUAGGAAGAACACCAGUGGCGAAGGCGGCUCACUGGCCCGGUACUGACGCUGAGGCGCGAAAGCGUGGGGAGCAAACAGG